UACAGAGGGUGCGAGCGUUAAUCGGAAUUACUGGGCGUAAAGCGCACGUAGGCGGCUUGGUAUGUCGGGUGUGAAAUCCCCGGGCUCAACCUGGGAACUGCAUCCGAAACUGCCUUGCUCGAGUAUGGGAGAGGGAAGUGGAAUUCCUGGUGUAGCGGUGAAAUGCGUAGAUAUCAGGAGGAACACCUGCGGUGUAGACGGCUUACUGGACCAUCACUGACGCUGAGGCACGAAAGCGUGGGUAGCAAACAGG
This 253-nucleotide ribosomal RNA is filed under the name uncultured bacterium. Its description in RNAcentral is "partial 16S ribosomal RNA". It matches the Rfam family "Bacterial small subunit ribosomal RNA", at positions 524 to 776 of the family's 1533-position model. The record is from RNAcentral.